UAGAAAGUGGUGUAGUGGAAGCACCAAGAGUUUUGAUCUCUUGAGCAUGGGUUCGACCCCCUUCUUUCUAA
RNAcentral lists this transfer RNA (71 nucleotides) under Tanakia limbata (oily bitterling). RNAcentral's name for it is "tRNA-Gln". It matches the Rfam family "tRNA". Rfam says of the family: Transfer RNA (tRNA) molecules are approximately 80 nucleotides in length. Their secondary structure includes four short double-helical elements and three loops (D, anti-codon, and T loops). Lineage: Eukaryota; Metazoa; Chordata; Actinopteri; Cypriniformes; Acheilognathidae. The record is from RNAcentral.